GAUGAACGCUGGCGGCGUGCUUAACACAUGCAAGUCGAACGGAAAGGCCCAAGCUUGCUUGGGUACUCGAGUGGCGAACGGGUGAGUAACACGUGGGUGAUCUGCCCUGCACUUCGGGAUAAGCCUGGGAAACUGGGUCUAAUACCGGAUAGGACCACUUCUUGGAUGUUGUGGUGGAAAGUUUUUUCGUUGUGGGAUGAGCUCGCGGCCUAUCAGCUUGUUGGUGGGGUAAUGGCCUACCAAGGCGUCGACGGGUAGCCGGCCUGAGAGGGUGUACGGCCACAUUGGGACUGAGAUACGGCCCAGACUCCUACGGGAGGCAGCAGUGGGGAAGAUUGCACAAUGGGCGCAAGCCUGAUGCAGCGACGCCGCGGGGGGGAUGACGGCCUUCGGGUUGUAAACUCCUUUCGCUAGGGACGAAGCGUUUUGUGACGGUACCUGGAGAAGAAGCACCGGCUAACUACGUG
This 467-nucleotide ribosomal RNA is filed under the name uncultured bacterium. Its description in RNAcentral is "partial 16S ribosomal RNA". It matches the Rfam family "Bacterial small subunit ribosomal RNA", at positions 28 to 507 of the family's 1533-position model. The record is from RNAcentral.